Non-coding RNA from Callithrix jacchus (white-tufted-ear marmoset), 19434 nucleotides. NCBI's taxonomy places the organism in Eukaryota, Metazoa, Chordata, Mammalia, Primates, Cebidae. The record is from RefSeq and is a predicted model, not a curated record.
UAUAAUAAUCUAUUAAUUCCAAAAGAUUUUUUGGCAGUUCUUUUAGAUUUUCUGCACAUAUAAUUAUGUAAUUUGCAAAACAAUUUCUUUCCUCUCAAUCUUUAUACCUUGUGUUUCUUUAUCUUAUUGCAUUAGCUAGGAAUUUCAGCAUAUUGAAAAACAGUAGUGAGAAGAGGCAUUCUUGUAUUUUUCCUAAUGUUAGUGGAAAAUCGUUGAGGAAGUUCUCCUGUAUUCCUACGUUACUGGGAGUUUUUAUUAGAAAUAAGUAUUGGAUUUUGUCAUAUGCUUUUCCUGCAUCUAUUAAUAUAUGGUUUUUUAUUUUUAGCUUGUUGAUGCAAUGGAUUGCAUUAAUUAAUUUAUGAACAUUGAACUAGCCUUGGAUAUCUGGAAUUCCACUCGUUUUUGCUGUAUAAUAUUUUUAUUCAUUAUUGGACUGAAUCUGCUAAGAUUAUAUUGGGAAUUUUGCAUCUCUGUUCAUGAGAGACAUAGGAGUGUAGUUUUCUUUAAUGUCUUUGUUUUGUUUUGGCAUUAGUGAAAUGCUGGCCUCCUACUAUGAAUUUGGAAGUAUUCUAUCUUUUGAAAGUGAUUAUAGAUAAUUGCUGUAUUUUAUUUCUUAAAUGUUUGAUAGAGUUCACCAGUGAACAUAUCUGGGUCUGGUGCUUUCUGUUUUAGAAAGUUAUUAAUUAUUGAUCCAAUUUUUAAAUAGAUAUAAACCACUCCAGAUUGUUUAUUUCUUCUUGGAUGAGUUUUGACAUAUUGUGUCUUUCAAGAAAUUGGUCAUUUUCAUCUAGGCUAUCAAAUUGAUGAGCAUAGUGUUGUUCAAUGUAUUUCUUUAUUAUCCUUUUAAUGUUCAUGAGGUCUGUAGUGAUAUACCUACCUUCAUAUCUGAUAUUAAUAAUUUAUGUCCUCUCUCUCUCUUUUUUAAAAUUAGCCUGGCUAGAGGCUUAUGUAUUUUAUUGCUGUUUUCAAAGAACCAGCUUUUGGGUUUUUUGAUUUUUUAAAAUUGAUUUUUAAAUUUUAUUGAUUUCUGCUCUAAUUUUUAUAAUUUCUUUUCUUUUUGCAUUUAACUUGGUCUUCUUUUUCUACUUUCCUAAGGUGGAAGCUUAGCUGAUUGAUUUUAGAUCUCUCUUCUUUUCUAAUAUAGGUACUCAAUGCUAUAAAUUUUCCUCUAUACACUGUAUUUGCUGCCUCCCACAAAUUUUGAUAAGUGUUUUGUUUUUGUUUUUAUUUGGUUUGAAGUAUUUUGAAAUUCAUUGGAGAUUUCUUCUUUGACUCAUGUGUUAUUUAGAAUUAUGUUUAUUCUCCAAGUUUUUCAAGAUUUUCCAGCUAUGUUUCUGUUGAUUGCCAGUUUAAUUCUUUUGUGUGAUCUGAGAGCAAACAUUAUAUCAUUUGUAUUCUUUUAAACUUGUUAGGAUGUUUUUUACAGCCCAGAGUAUGUUCUGUCUUUGUGACUGUUCCAUGUGAGCUUGAGAAGAAUGUGUAUUCUGCUGUUCUUGGGCAAAGUAGUCUCGACAUGUCCAUUUUAUCUAGUUGACUAAUGACGCUGUGGAUUUCAAUGGUGUCCUUACUGAUUCUCUGUCUUCUGGGUCUAUUUUUUAAUAGAAGGGUAUUGAAGUCUCUAAUAAUAAUAGUAGAUUAAUCCUCCUUGUAGUCCUAUCAGUUUUUGCCUCAUGUGCUCAAAACUCUGCCGUUAGGUGCAUACUCAUUAAGGAUUAUUAUAUCUUCCUGGAGAAUUGAUCCCUUUAUUACAUAAUUUGGCACCUUUUAAAAGCCAGUAUCUAAAUGAUUGUUUUUAAGCUGCAGACUUACAAGUUCAGAUAUAGCCAGCAUACAUAAAUAAUUGUGUAUAAUAUUGAAUUCAAAUACCAGAUUUAUAAUUCAGGAUGAGAAUUAGAUGACUUUAUUAUUUAUACAUUUAAUUAAUUUCUUGCAUUUAUGUUUGACUUACGUUGUUAAUGACAGAAGGAAAGAGAUGAUUCAUUUAUUCAUUAUCACCUGUGUGUCAGGUGGUAUUAUGAUGGAAAUACAAUCAUAAGCAAGAGAGGCAGGAUCCCUGCCAUCUGGAGCUAAUGGCCUAAUGUAGAAAACAAUUAAUAAAUAAUAUUUAUUCCUGGUGUUAGGGGAGCUCUGAGUACACAGGCUAUAGAUAUCUUUAUAUUUUCUUCAGAGUUGUGCAGUGAUAUGUACAUAGGACAGUUAUUUCUAUAAUAAAUGGAUUGAAUAAAUUGUAUGGAUUAGUGCAGUGAAAAUGGGAGCAGAUUUUGGGAGGUGCUUUUGUAUAAUGAUGGAGGUGCCAUCAUUGUCAGUAAUGUUGCUCAUGAAGCUGAUGGUCCUGAUGCAAGUGUGGAAAAUGGAGCAUCAUAUCAUCAAUGUGAAGGAAGUGCAUUCUUUGCCAUACCUGCUUUGGCUAUCUGCCCAGUUCCUGAGAUUGUGGCAUCAUUCAUCUUCCCUCAGGGCAGCUGAGACUCAGAGCUACUUUCCUUGUUGUUUUGCCCACCUAUGAGACUUUCUGUGAGACUGCAGUCAGUGUCCUGCUUUGGACUCCAGCAGCCCAGUCUUCCAUGUUGCACCUAGGUCCCUGUUCUAUUCCUCUCUUCUUGCUCAUAUGAGUGAACAUCAACUACAGCUCUAAUUAGUAAAUUUUUAGAAAACAGUUUUCCACCUCCAAAAGCAAAUGGCAUUUUUUGCAAACAAAUCAUUUGUCCUGAUUGGUGAACUAUGGGUUUCAGGCUUUGUGGUGAUUACUUUUUUUUUUUUUUUUUUUUUAACUCAGAGGAUUAAAGUCAUCCUAAAUUGACUUAGAUCUCCCUCAAGAAAGAGAGAAAUACCUGUGAGCUCAUUAUCUUUGAGGCUGAGAGGUAAGGUUAAAUGCUUGGGUAGGCACGGUAGAGAAGGCAAUCUUGUAUACUUGAUCCAUUUUGAGUUGAUUUUUACUGUAAUCCUCUAGAGGCAGAACAAAUUAUGCCUGCAUUUGGCCAUGCACUUAGAGAGGUAUAAUGGCAUUUAGUGACGCUAAGGGUGCUAUGGGUUUCCAUGAGAAAACUAGAUGUCCUUCACUGCUCCAUACAGAGCUGAGCACUUUGUGCUACUCAUUGCUUUACAGCUCCUUGAAAGAAUAGGGAUUGCACUGGUUUCCUCUUCAGCUUGUUUAUGUUAAAUGCUGUCCCAUUUUCAAUGCCUCUCAAGAGAAGCUCAUAAAAGCAAAGACCCCACAGAGAUAGGAGAACCUCAGGGGACCUCUGUAGAUGUGAGAAGAAGAGCAUUUAAAAGAUUUCAAUUUUACCCAUAGACCUAGUUAGCCCUGGCUGUAGUAUAAUUUCAGGGAAUAUGUCAUAACCUGCCCCAUUACGGCAGAGUGAAGAAUUGAAUCCUAGGGAAAUGGGAAGAAGAACUUUUCCUACUGUUAAACAGCCAGAUUCCCAGGAGUGGCUGUCAGCUGAAAUGGAGAAGGCAGAGAGACAAGUAGAUUUAGGAUGGGAGGAAAGAAGAUGAAGGAUUCAGGUUUGGAAUUAUAAAGUCUGAGAUGCCAAACAGAUGUUUCCAGGGUUCUUUAAUCUGAUCUACUAAUCUUUGUAUAUCACUGUAUCCACAUCUACUGCUUUAAUUAAUAUAGACAUUUACUAUAUUUUAACUGGUGGGUUAGUUCUCUUCUUUGUUAUUCUUUUAAAAGUUGUUUUAAUUGGCUAGGCAUGGUGGCUCACGCCUGUAAUCCCAGCACUUUGAUAGGCUGAGGCAGGCAGAUCAUGAGGUCAAGAAAUCAAGAUGAUCCUGGCCAACAUGGUGCAACCCCAUCUCUACUAAAAUACAAAAAUUAGCCAGGCAUGGUGGCGUGCGCCUCCAAUGCCAGCUACUCAGGAGGCUGAGGCAGGAGAAUUGCUUGAACCCAGGAGGCGGAAGUUGCAGUGAGCCCAGAUCGUGCCACUGUACUCCAGCCUGGUGCCUGGAGACAGAGCUAGACUGUGCCUCCAAAAUAAAUAAAUAAAUAGUCUUAAUUUUACUGAUUUGCUAAUCAUGAUGACUCUUUGUUCUUACUGUAUUUUUUGGACCUUUGGUGGAAUAUUGAACAGUAGCGGUCAUACAGGUUUUCUCGUUUGUUCCUGACUUUAAUGGGAAAGUUUUGAAAUUUUACCAUUGAGGGUAAUGUUGACUCUAGGUUUCUGAUAAGACAUACUCUCUGGAUUAAAGCAGUGCCUUUCUAAUCUUGAUUUCUUAAGAAUAAUUCAUGAAAGUUUCAUCAAAUGCUUCUUCUGUAUUUCUUGUGAAGAAUUAUAUGGUUCAUUUUAAUUCUUAAUACGGUGAAUUACAUUGAUGGCUGUCUAUUUCUCUUCUUUUCUUUCUCCGUCCUUUCUUCCAUUUCCUCCUCCCUUCCUUCCCUUCAAAUAUAGGGAAUUGAACUAAUCAUACUCCUGAGUGUAUGGAAUACUAUCAACCUUGGUGUUUUUCUUUGUUUGUUCUUACCUCCUUAAAUGACCAUUCUGCCUUCAAUUUGUAUAUUUAGAGAUAUAUGUAUCCCUGAGAAAUAUGCAGUGGGAUAUAGGUAUAUGUAGGGGUAUAUGAGCUUAAUUUACUUAAAAGGUAUUGUGCUAUGAAUGUAUAUAUUUUUUGUUCAACACUAUGAUCUUUGGUAUUAUAGCUAUGCAGAUAUAUAUAUGUAUGCUGCUGUAUGUAUAUGGAUAUGUGUAUACUGCUAAAAGAAUAUAAAAAUCUUUUGUAUUGUGUCUGACAUGGUUCUGCACAAUAUUCACGCUAUCCAAAAUGACUACAUUUUACUUAUCUAAUUCCCUAGUUGUGGACUUCGGUUUCCUCUGUUGCCUUGUACCAAGUGCUGCUCAUGUUUCCAUAGGACCUUUGAGAGAGUUAUUCUGGAUUAUAUACAGAAGAAAGUGUGGCAUGUUUGCCAGAUUUUCUAAUAUUGGCCACUUCUUAUAUUUCUAGGAUAAAUCCUGCUUAGUCAUAGUAUUAGGAUGCUUUCAGCUAUAAAUAAUAGAAAUAUCUAACUUCAAUAGUCUUAAACAGCAGGAAAAUUUAUUCUCUUAUAUUGUGAGAUGCCCUAAUGUACAGCUUCUUAACACUGUUUAAUUCAGUGACUCAAAGACAGCAUCAGGUUUCUUCUGUCUUUCCUGUCCUUCACCUCUACAUGAGCAUUGCCCUUUGCCAGACUUACAGCUACGUGCAGCUGCUCCAGUGCCCAGCAGAUGUAGAAGACUUUUUUUUCUUUGACUCCUUUUAGAAGUGAGAAGCUUUUCCAAGAAGCUUCUAUUCUCCAACCUCAGUAGACUUUCCUUUGUGCUUCAUUGACCACAAUUAUGUAACAUUCUCAGGACUAAACUAAUCCUUAGCCUGGUACUAAAACUAUCGAAACUGAGUUAGACCAGUGACUCAAACUGGGAUGCUUAUUGGAAUCACCUAGAAGCUUUAAGAAAUGAUUUAGAGCCUCUCAAUUCCAAUUAACUCGAUUAUAUUUACAACAUUUUAUCUAAAUUUUUUUUUACUAUCUCAUGGUCUAUUGUAAUUAUUGGUCUAUUUGACUUUUUGAAAUUCUUUGUCUUAUUUUUAUUAAUCUCCUUAUGUUUAUUUAUUACCAACUGUAUCUGGAGUAAUUUCUCUUGAUUCACAUAUUAUUUUUGUAUUUUUGUUUCUUUUUAUGUCUUUAAAUCAGAGGCAUAAGAGGGGAGCCCCAGGGGCGGGCCUGGUGGCUCAUGGCUGUAAUCCUAGCACUUUGGGAGGCUGAGUCAGGAGGAUGGCUGGGGUCAGGAGUUCGAGACCAGCCUGGCCAACAUAGUGAGACCCUCCCCAUCUCUAUAAAAAGUGAAAAAAUAAACUGGGCUCAGUGGCAUGCACCUGUAAUCCCAACUACAUGGUAGGCUGAGUAGGGAGAAUCACUUGAGCCCAGAAGUUGAAGCCUGCAGGGAGCUAUAAUUUUCCUAUUGAACACUAGUCUGGACAACAGAGUGAGAUGUUGUCUCUCCAAAAAAUAAAUAAAUAAAAAUUAUUUUUUUUAAAAGAGAGAAACUCCCAACUAUUUGAACACAUUUCAAAUCUUUGUUCAUGAUACAUCUUCUAAUAUCUCAUUCUUCAUAGUCAUAUGGUCAAGUUGAAAGUCAAGAAGCAGAGGAUUCUUUUACAUAUAAGUCCACUGCAAGGGAAUGGAUAAUAUUGUUUAGGGAAAGCAAGAAGUAACACCAGUAAUUUAAUCUACCACCAGUAGGAAAUGAAAAAUUACAGUUCAAUGGUCAUGGUAGCUAAAAAUAAGAAAAUGGGCAAUUCUGUCAAAAGCUACAGAAAGCCAAGUAGGACUUGAAAGGACUAGUAGGACUUUGAAAAUAAUAUUUAACAUGGCUUAGAGGUGAUUGGGAACUUUUACAGAAAAUUAAAGUGUUGAGAAUACAAGCUUGAUUAAAGGGAAUUAAGAAUAAAUUGGGUUGAAGUGUUAUAGAAAUGAAAAACCAUGUGAUAUGAUUUGGAUCUGUGUCACCACCCAAAUCCUAUGGGGCCUGGUGGGAGGACUGGAUCAUGGGGGCAGAGUUCUUAUGUAUGGUGUAGCAUCAUCUGCUCAGUGCUGUCCUCAUGAUAGUGAGGAAGUGGAUUUCCAUGAAAUCUGGUCAUUUAUAAGUAUGUAGCACCUCCUCACUCACGCUCUUGCUCCUACUCUGCCAUGUAAGAUACUUUGCUUCCCCUUCACCUUCUGUCAUGAUCGUAAGAUUCCUAAGGCCUCCCUAGAAGUUGAGCAGCUGUCGGCAUCAUGCUUCCUGUACAGUCUGCAGGACCAUGAGCUAAUUAAACCUCUUUUCUUAUAAAUUACCCCGUCUCAGGUAUUUCUUCAUAGCAAUUAAAGAAUGGACUAAUAUACUGUGUUUAUGACGAGCUGGAAAAGGGAAGAAAAGAACACACCCUUUUGUAAAAUAGGAAAAAACUCAGAAUGUUUAAAAGCAGAAGUGAAGGGAGAUUGAAGCUUCUUUGCUAGUAAUUAGGGAAUAAUUAUAACCUCAGGUCAGUCAGAGGGAUGGUAUGCGGAAUGUAUGGAAAGACUAGUUUUAAUCAUCAUCAUUGUCAUCAUAGCUAACAUUUAUUAAGCAUUUAUCAUGAUACAGGCACUAUAUAAAGUACUUAACAUGGAUUAUCUUGCUUAAUCUUUAAAAAUUACAUGAGAUAUGCAGAAUAUAUUUUCCCUAAUCUACAAGUAUGGAAACAAACUCAAAGAGAGUAAGUAAAUUGUCUGGAGCUGUCCAGUUAUUAAGUGUCAGAGUUCGUGUCAGACUCUAAUGGCAGCAUUGUUCAUCUUAAAGAAGGAUGGGUUGAAGUGAAGAUGAUAUACCCUUAAGCCGAAUGAUCUCCUUCCUAUGAAUUGUACUGGUGCUGAAUAGAGAGAGAAAAAGGCAACUACAGUGGGAAGAAUAUAUAAGUAUCAUUGAGAACUAAGGAGAUAUUAGAAAGAGUCACUCUGUAAUGAACCAGUUCUCAUCUCCCUCUGUCAGGAAUCUUCAACUUGACUACAGAUACCGAGAAACUAAGAGGAACUAAGGUUUCAGACUUAAUGUGUCUACUAAUGAAGCAUGACUAGUAAGAUGCUGGGACCAGGAUAAGAACAUUAAUGAAAAGCUACCUGAUUAACAGAGGCUAAAUCUGUUAGCAGAGAUGUGAGUAUAUUUAAAAUAGAUGAGUGAGGGCACCUGGGUGACACUGAUCGCAGAAGGGGAAAAAAGAGUCAGAGAAUCUCACCUAGGAGAGUACCCUGUGCUUUUUUCAUUUCAAUUCUUGAGCUGGAAAACCCAAAGUGUUCUUUGUUCAGAUAUAUUCAUUAGACCUAAAUCAAGCGUUGGAUACUGCACAACAAAGAGAGAGCAUUGGAGUGGAGGCAUAGGGGUGAGGAUGGAAAGAGGGACAUUAGAUUUUUUUUCACUGUAUUAACAUAGAUAAUAUCAAUGACUUCUACUUCCAGACAUGAGAGAGUGACUGGAGUUAGACUUACCCUCUUACUGUAAACAACUAGAAAACCAGUCAAAAAUCUAUGAAAAAACUCCUUUUGGUGAUUAGAAAGUACAGUUCUAUGACUCCUCAGAGAAGGGAAACAAAUGAAAUAAGCCCUAUGAUAAUACCAGCUUUCUGCCAGGAGAUACUUUCUGGACCAUAAUACAGACUCAAGAAGAGCAUGAUAUCACUGAGUUGAGAAGACAAAAGUUUGAAUUUGAAGCAGCUGAGUGGCUGGAAUGUGUUCAGUAGAGAAAAUGCUGAAGAUCUUUAUACAGUGCCUCUUGCAACUAUGGCUGACUGUGAUAUGUAGGCCGAAACUGCAUAAGCCAGGCAAAGAAUUACCAGGUAUCUGUAAGCUGAAUAUUUCUAGAGGCAAUACAGGGCUGGUAGAACUUUGAGUUAUUACCAGCCAGGGUUUAGGGUCCUUGAUUAAUAUUGAGGGCAUUCCAAAAUAAGUCACAGCUUAGUUAUAGGGCUAAAUAAGCCCUAAAGUCUAUUUAAAAGUUUUAAUAAAGCUUAAAAAAGGAUCACCCUAAUAUGUAAAUAAGUUUACUGCCAGUCAGAAUACAGUUCAACAUCCAUUAAAGAGGACAUUUAACAAUAUGAAGGCACAAUGUCUAACAUCCAAUCCAAAAUUACCAGGCAUACCUAAAAGCAAAAACAAACAAAAAACAAAAAAUCAUGACCUAUAACUAGGAGAAAAAUCAGUUAACAGAAGUAGACCUAAAAUGACAGAGAAAAUAGAAUUAACAAACAAGGUCUUUAAAACAGCUGUUGUAAAUAUGUAUGUAAUUGGAGUCCUAGAAAGGAAGAAGGGCAGAAAAAAUAUCAAAGAAAUGGCAGCUAAAAACUUUUCAUAUUUUAUGAAAAUUAUAAACUCACAGAUUCGAGCAGCUCAACAACCCCAAGAAGUAUAAACACAAAAUAAAAUCACACCAAAGGAGUUAAUGAUUAAAUUACUGAACAAAAUUGAUAGAGAAAAUUUUAAGAGCUGACAAAAAACAUACAGAGGAACAAAGAUAACACUACUCACAUAUGUUUUGUCAGAAAAUUUUAAACCAGAAAAAAAUGAAAUUACAUCUUUAAAGAUCUGUAACAAAACAGCAAACUGUCAACCUCAAAUUCUAUAUCAAAUAAAAAUACCAUUCAAAAAGUAAAUAUGAAAUAAAAACAAGUCAAACAAAAGCUGACAGAAUUAUUCACCAGCAGACCUAAAAUGCAAGUUCUUCAGAUGAAAGGCAAAUACUAUCAAUGAAACUUAGAUCUAUAUAAAUGAAGGAGGAGCAUCAUGCGUGGAUACAUGCAAAGAAUAAACAGCAAAUUCCAAAAGGUUAUAUACUUUAUGAUUCCAUUUAUUCAAGAUUCAUGAAAUGAUGAAAUUGUAGAAAUGGAAAACAGAUUAAUGAUUGGUAGGAGUUAAUAAGGAGAGGAUGAAAGGAAAGUUGGAAGGAAGUAGGUAUGACUAUAAAAGGGAAAUGAGGACUCUGGUAGUGAUGAAAUGUUGUUAAGAGGAUAUUUAGUGGGGAAAUAGUCUUUCAAUAAAUGGUUCUACAAAAUUAGAUACUCAUAUACAAAAAAUGAACUUCAACCUUUGCUUUAAACUAGACUCAAAAAUUAACUCAAAAUAGAUAGUAUACUUAAACAUAAAUAUUAAAACUAUAAAACUAGAAGUUUUUUUUUAACAUUGGAGUAGGCAAAGAUUUCUUAGGACAAAAUAUUUGAAACAUAAAAGAAAAAAUAAUACACUGGCUUUAUCAAAGGCAUUAUUAAGAAAGACACCAUUUAGAAAAUGAAAUUUGUAGCCAUAGACUAGUCUGAUAAGGGUUUGAAUCCAGAAUAUAUUAAAAAAGACUUAUGCCACUCAAUUAAAAGUAAAUUUUUUAAAUAGGCAAAAGAUUUGGACAGACACAUCACUACACACACACACACACGCACACACACACACACACACACGAUGGCCAAAGGCACAUGAAAAGAUGCCCCCUCAUCAAGGAAAGGCAGGAAAACUACAGUGAGAUACCAACUAUGAUGAAUAAAGUAAAGAGACUUAUAUAUUAUUGUUUGUAGGUAUGUAUAAUAGUAUUAACUUUUGGAAAUCUGUUUGGCAGUUUCUUAUAAAGUUAAGCAUAUGCUUAUCAUAAGACCUGGUGUUUCCACUUCUAUUCAUUUACCAAAGAGCAAUGAAAACAUAUGUCCAUGUAAAAGAAACUUGUAUAUCAGUGUUCAUAGUAACUAAAAUAAGGGAAAAAAUCAAAUGUCCUUAAGCAGAUGAAUGCAAAACAAAUUUUAGUCUAUUUAUAUAAGGGAAUACUCUCAGCAAUAAAAAAGCAGUGUAUUAGAGAUACCCAUGACACAUGGUUGAAUCUCAAAUAUAUUAUCCUCAGUUAAAAAAAUCCAGAUCCCAAAUAGUACAUGCUGUAGGAUUUAAUUCAUCUGAAUUACUGCUAUGGGAAUUCUGAAUACAAUUGACACACUUCUUAGUGUAGUUGAAGAUCAUAAAGACAUAACCCAACAGCUUGAGGGAAUCUGCUUACAGGUCAUUGGUACUGUUUUACAACAGCGUGUCUUAGAAUUCUAUGAGGAGAUCUUCUGUUUAGCACAUAGCUUGAUAUGUCAACAAGUGUCUCCACCGAUGUGGCAGCUACUACCCCUUGUAUUUGAAGUCUUUCUGCAGGAUGGCUUUGAUUACUUUACAAAUAUGAGUCCCCUCCUUCAUACUCUCUGAUACCAAGUAUCUUGAAAUGAUAUACAGUAUGUGCUAAAAAAGAUUCUUACAGGAGUUGCAGGAGAAGAGGCAGAGUGUCAUGCACUGAAAUUGUUGGAGGUCAUUCUGUGGUGCAAAGGCUGUGGCGCUGACCAGUGCAUUCCCUUGUUUGUGGAAGCAGCCUUAGAAAGACUGACAAGAGAGGUUAAGACAAGUGAACUUUGACUAUGUGUGUGCAAGUUGCAAUUGCAGCUUUGUAGUAUAAACCACACCUACUACUCAAUGCCUUAGAAAAUCUUCGCUUCCCUAAUAACGUUGAACCAGUUUUAAAUCAUUUUAUUACCCAGUGGCUUAAUGAUGUUGACUGUUUCUUGGGGCUUCAUGAUAGAAGAAAGAUGUGUGUUCUUGGAUUCUGUGCUCUUGUUGCGAUGGACCAGAUACCCCAAGGUUUAAAGCAGGUUCCUGGACAGAUUUUGCCAGCGUUUAUCCUUUUAUUUAAUGGAUUAAAAAGAGCAUAUGCCUGCCAUGCAGAACAUGAGAAUGACAGUGAUGAUGAUGAUGAAGCUGAAGAUGUUGAAACCAAGGAAGUGUGGGAGUGAUGAAGAUGAUAUUCAUGAAGAUGGGCAAGAAUAUUUGGAGAUUUUAGCUAAGCAGGCAGGCGAAGAUAGAGAUGAUGAAGAUUGGGAAGAAGAUGCUGAAGAGACUGCUAUGGAAGGCUAUUCCACAAUCAUUGAUGAUGAAGAUAACCCUGUUGAUGAGCAUCAGAUAUUUAAAGCUAUCUUUCAAACUAUUCAAAAUUGUAAUCCUAUGUGGUAUCAGCCUCUGACUCAUGGUCUUAAUGAAUUCAGAACAAAGAAAACAGUGACAGGACAAAGCAACUCUGGCUGAUCAAGGAGGAGCAGCCCAUGGAUCCAAAAUGAUUGAGAAGCAUGGGGGAUAUGAAUUCAGUGCUCCAGUUGUGCCAAGUUCUUUCAAUUUUGGAGUCCCAGCACCAGGGAUGAAUUGAGUUACCUCUUUCUUUCCUGCUGUGAGUGAUUGUAGUGAAGAGCUUGUGUUCCUUCUAGUAGCGGUUCCAGAACUACGUUAUCUAUUCUAAGCUAAUGAUCAAUAGAUGAACAAAAACCCCAGCAAUCCCAGGAGAUGGGACCUGAUCAUGCAACCUGGCAAUGGAAAAGGAACCAGCGGGAUUUUGGGGAUGGGGGUAUGGGGAUACCGUAGCGGGUGUAUUUUCUUUAUUUUUCAAAGAAAGUAAGAUCCUAACUCUGAAGCUUCAAAGUGACACUGUGGAAAUCUGAAACGAGGGAGUGACAUGAAGGCAGCUUUUCUUUUUCUGAGGAAAAAAAUAGGCAUGGGCUACAGGACUAUUUAAAAUGUCUCAUUUACAGUAUAAAGCUCAAAGGUAGAUGUAAGUUUUACACCUAUGAGUAUUUGUCCAAUUUCUGUCUCUUCCUUACCACUGGGUAUCUAUUCUUUAUAUGUACAUAAGAUAAUCUGAUAUCCUUAUUCAAUCUUCAUCAUUUUCAUUCAUCGUUGUUCCUAUGUAGACUAUUGGACAUUUAUUGUAGCACUGCAUAAUCAAUUAUAAAAAUCUGUAAAUGAAUUAGCACUUUCAUAUUGAAACAAGCCUACUAGCCUAUGCAUCAAAUAGCACAAUGUUUGCUGUUUAUAAAAAGAUGUAAUGGGAUUGGGGGCAAGGGUAAUUUCAAGUUAUUAGUUUUAAAAUGAACUAGAAAUUUUGUACCUGGAGACUUUUUGGUUCACUCACCUCUGAUAGGGACUUGAAUUAGGUUUGUAAGAUGGGGUUAGUGGUAUGUCAUUGCUGCUGAAAAUGACAACUCUUUUUGUGUCCUGUUUUUCUUAAAGCUGUCAGUGUAUAAGUGGGUUUCUGAAUACCAGAACGUACUGUAAAAAAUGAUAAAGGUGGUAUCUAGAGCAUGAAAAUCAGACAUAAAGUUCUACUCUUAAAGAGUUGAUCUAAGAGUAUGGCUAGACAUUUAGAUAUGCAGUCUAUUAAAAGAACCUAAUUUGGCUAUUAUGUCUUGAUUUGAUUGCAGUUUUUUCCUAAUUAUAACAAUUUUUUUUCUCAUUGGCCUGUUUUUAAUCCUGUACCUAGAAAUGCACCUAGAACAAAAAUCCGGUACCUAGAACAAAAUGCACACUUAAAAAACUGAUAUUUAACACUUACCCACUCCCCCUGCCCCAUCUCUUCUACCCCUCUUGUUGAUUGUGGUAUCUGAUCUUAAUUAGAUACGUCACAUAGUUCCCUCCAGAAAUCACUAUUGAAACCACUGCAAAAACAAGCCAGCAAAAAUACAGUGUAGAGGUUGGCUUGCUUCUCUCUCUUCCUAACUGCAUGUUGAAAAAUAAGCCUAUAUUGAUCUUAAACAUCUGUCAGAUGAGUCAUACAUUGUGUUAUUUUUUAUAUACAUGUAUACAGAAAAUAUUUCAAAUUGAAAGCAACAUCUUAUUGGAUUUAAAAGUAUUACAAGCUGUUGUCUAAAACAGAUGAGAAAAUUUAUAACUAAAAACCAAGGUACACAUUGAUUUUAAAAUGCAUAAUUAAGAAAAAAAUUUCGCACCACUGUACUUUGUCUCAGCCAUGUGGACAAGUCAUCCAUUUGGGUGCAUUUUCACCCUAGAAUUCUGACUUCUUUCUGUUCAAGCCUUUACAGUGACCACCAGACAGUCCCCCUCAUCCACACCCCCAUGCUAACACUUCUAUUGUUGCCUGGGAAACAGAAUGAGACCUGUUUCAAAAAGAAAAGAAAAUUCAAAGGUCUAGCCUUACACAUAAACAAAAUAGGCAUCUAUCCCCGUGAGUCAUGAUGUGGUUUUUAGAGUGCCUGUAAAGCCUCAGGCUCCCAUAUUUUUUCUCUGCUUUUGUAGGAUCAAGCUCCCAGAUAUUUGAAAUUUCUUUAGCAAGGGUAAAGUCUUCAUUAUAAAAGUACAAAAUGUGUAGUUGCUGGUGUGAACAGUAACCUAUUAACCUGUAUGUGCUCUAAGCCAGCGCUUCUCAGAUUUUAAUGUGCAUACAGAUCACCUGAGGGUCUUGUUAAGAUGCAGAUUCUAACACAGCAGGCUGGGGUAGGCUCAUGGCUUUGUAUUUCUCAUAAGCCUCCAGGAAGGUUCUAAGCUAGAACAUGUCAACAGAGAGUGCAUCCACCUUAUCCAUGAUGCUAUUAAAAAGUUAAGAUUCGGGACCUCCAUUAUAGGCUUGCUAAAUGAACACCUCCAGAAUAAACACCAGGCAUGAGUAUUUUUUGUACACACACACACACACACCCCCACCCCAUACCUCCUCUACCGGUGAUUCCAAUGUGCUUUUCUGGGUGAGAACCAUUACCAAGGUUAGUUUAUCUUGAUGGGAAUUUCUAAUGUGGGGGUAGGGAUGAGGGGGCACUGUCUGGUGGUCACUGUAAAGGCUUGAACAGAGAGGUUAGAAUUCUAGGGUAAACAAUGUGCCCAAAUGGGUUAUUUGUGCACAUGGCAGAGAUAGAGCUGGAGAAUGAGGAAGAAGAGGCUGGGCAAAUGUCCUUGCUCCGUUUGUGUUCUUGAGCUCAAAUGUUUCAUCUUGUUCAACUUUCUGAUCACCUUAUUCUUUGGGUAAGCUGCCCUAGCAGUCAGUGGGAGAAAUAGUUUUGGGGUGAGGGCUAGGGAGGAGCAGCAAAAAUCUACCCUUAAUGCUCAUUCGAAGAGCAAAGAGAACUGAUGUUUAAGGUUUUUCCAGGGGGUGUUUCUGGUUCUCUUAACAUUAUGUGAGUGGGGAUUAUUCCAGGCAGGCUCUGGUUUGGGAGUGCUAUGUGAAACAUCCUUCACAGCAAACUUCUCUAAAGGAAACAUCCUUCCCAGCAAACUCUUAUGUUAUUGAUACUUAUGUUAUGAAUGAGUUCAGUGAAAACUGUGGACUCUAGCUAAAUAUGGAAAACAGUUUUUAAAUGGCAGCUGCCCAAAGGGUUUGGGAGUCUUCUUCUAUAACAAGCUCAGUUGAGAACUUGAGAUUUUCUAGGGAGGAACAUUUGAAGGGGUCUUGGUGAUGGAGGCAAAGUAACAUGUACUGCAAGAGGCAUAGAUGACUCCAGAAUGCCUGCAUCACCGCCUGGUGCAGGAGAUCACCUGCCAGCCAGGUGGCAUAAUAAGAUUAAGAGUAAGCUAAUUGCCUACUUUUUUAAUGCUUGUGAAAUUAUUCUUUGCAAAUAAAUGAGCCACUCAGGCACAGCUCAAGUACUUGCAGUUGGGAUGAAAUCACUGCAGGGAGAAAGUACUAAGGGGAAAAGUGGGUUAUAUUAAUAGCAGUGUCUAGCCCUCUUGACCAUGUGUGACGCCAUCACCAGCACUCCCAGCUGAGUCGUGACACUGCUGUAGAAAGACAGCAAGUAAGUGGAAAGGGCAGCAGACCCCAAAUAGCAUGAGUCUACUGUGACUAGGCAUCGCUCUCCAUGGUGCUAGUGGAGCAGCUUUCUGCUCUCUGGCUCAGUCUAUAUUCUUGAUAUCUACCUGCCCUAUGUUUUAUGUUUAGUUCCCAGCCUAAAGAAGGAGAAUAUGGUCAAGGCCACAUCCUAAAAAUUGACAGACAUCUGCAGCCUGGACUUCACCUUCCUCCCCAGGUGGUUUUUGUAGCCAUGGCCACAAUGCCCACACCUUUGAUGGAGCUAUUAGCCACCGAAGCAGGUGGAAUAUUAUUUGGGAACAGGGGAAAUCAACUUUGCUUAGAAGCUUACAGUCAAUAGUGAGGGAUUUAAGAAAGGCUGGGUUCAUGUAUCUUGUCCUUUAAAUUCUUUGUUUAAAAAAUUGUGUGAGAGAGUGAGUGUCUUAAUCCCCCUUCUGCAGUAUUCCCUUCUCUGACUGUGGUUUCUUCUUCUGGCUGUCAGUGAGUGUUUUUGCCUGUAGCUGGCGAUGUCUCUGGCCUGGGAUGUGGACUUGUUCUGAAGUGGAGAAAACUUUAGCUGAUGGUCUUGGAAGGAGACUUCCAGAACUUUCUCACACUCAUACAUUACCGUCCUUCAUCACUAAACAUUUCUAUGUAGGUGAUAUCGUGUUAAAAUGAAUAAAAAGAAAUUGCAAAGCGUAGAGUAAGAAGUGAGCCCCAGAUAUUUAUCAUCAGCUAAACAUCUGUUGUCUGAAUUAUUGCUUCCCAGCCCAGGGUCUGUCAUGAUGCUCAAGCCAGGGCUAAGGUCAAUUGUCUGGUUUUCUCUCUCUACAUAUAUGAGCUCUCCAUGGUGCUAGCGGAGCAUUUGCAUUCUCUGGCUAAAUCUAUAUUUUUGAUACUCUUACCUGCUCUGUUUUAUGUUUAGUUCUUAGCCUGUAGAAGGAGAAUAUGGUCAAGGCCACAUCCCAAAAAUAGAUAGAUACCUAAAGUCAAGACUUCUCCCUGCUCUCCUGGUGGUCCCUGUAACAUGGCCACAAUGCCCACACCUUUCAUGGGCCAGCCCCAGGUGGAUGAUGCACCUGGUUAUCAUUGGUUGUAACUGGUGGAUAGCUACCACUUGCCAGCCUGGUGUCUAGACCUUCCAGACGUAAUACCUGCCACAUUUCUUAAUAUUCUGCUCUUCAAAAAUGCUCCCAAAGCUGCCAUGGGUAAAGAUUGGCUCUGUAGAUUCAGGUUUUGGGAGGCUGUGCCUCUGGUUAUAGAUUUUCCAGGUAUUUUUCCUUUUCUGUAUUGUUAUUUUUGGCCAUACUGGAAUUAGGCUUUGAUCAUUCAUCCUUUCUCUUGGACUAGCUGAAUUAAUCUGAAGCAAUUUGUUCUCUGGCUCCCAGUUUCCUCAUUUAUACAUUGAGUGGAUACCCUUCUAUUUUUGUUGCUCUGUGAAAUGAGAUAUAAACUUUCUCAUUAUGACUUGAUAAUAUAUUGAAAUGGGGAGGAGGAAUGCAUUAUUGUGUAAAACAAGGUUUGUGGAUUUUAAGUUAAUGAGUAGAUUCCAAAUACAAAGGCUCCUUUCCUCUGAAUUGAUCAUUUGCUGAAUUUUUUCUACAUAACAUAGCAUUAUAUUAGGGGAAGAAUGUUUCUGGAAUAACAUGAUUUUUGACCCUUUUUUUAUUUCAUCUGUGUGAUAAAACUCAUCAAGGUAAUCAAACACAUUAUACCAAGAGAUAAGACUUUGGUCUCAUUUUCUAGCUUAGAUAAAUGCUUUUACUGCUAGAGGUAUUAAAAUGUCACCUGAUUUGGAGUCAUCAGUCUCCUAGAAGAAGAAAUGAAAAAGCUCAACAAAGGAUUCACAAGAGGCAGAAAAGAACUGGGCUGACUUUAACCAGUAUGGUUUAGAUCUGUAGGCAGAAUUUAGACAAAGGUAUUGAUCAGAAAGACAGGACUAAUAAUGGAUCCAUUUGGCAAGAAAGAUCCAAACCAAGUCAUGGCAAGACCUGAUAAAUCUUCAAAGAUUGUGUUUCUGUGACCCUGAGCUAGGGGCAGUUGCGGCUUUCGAAGCUCUUCAAGGUAAAUGCUUCUCUAGUUAGUUGCACCCAGUCAGGCUGAGCCUGGGCUGUGUGGAGUGCCCUUGUCCCUGGGAGGAAUACAAUUGCUCACCAGGAGCCCUGGGGCCUCCUAUAGGACAGAGUUCCCUGGAGCAUUUGAGGUCCAUUGGAAAGUUUCUGGCAUUGUUGAGUCUCAGCAGGGUUGGCCUCUCAUGACAAGCCCCAGCUCUCUCUGUUUAUCAUCUGCCUCAGUGGCCAAGCCUCUGGGGAGCAGUCUUGGCUGCAAGGACUUUGCUGCAUCUCAAACUUGGGCCACCUUCCAAAUCUGGCUUUCUAUUAUUUUAUGCCUACUGUGCUCCAUACCCUGGGAUGGGGUGGCUUUAGCUAUAAUCUCUCUCUCUUUUUUUUUUUUUUUUUUUGUUUUAGACAGAGUCUCGCCCUGUCACCCAGGCAGGGUGCAGUGGUGCAAUCUCAGCUCCCUGCAACCUCCACCUCCUGGGUUCAAACAAUUCUCCUGCCUCAGCCCGCCCACCACCAAGCCUGGCUAAUUUUUUUAUCUUUAGUAGAGACACGGUUUUACCAUGUUGACCAGGCUGGUCUCAAACUCCUGAACCUCGUAAUCCACCCGUCCCAGUCUCCCAAAGUGCUGGGAUUACAGGCGUGAGCCACUGUGCCUGGCCUAGAUGUGAUAUCUUUUAAGCUACAGAGGCCCUGCCAGGUAGGUGUUAUCUCUGUUUGACAGAAAAGGAAACUGAGACUCAUAAAGGAACAAAAGUUUACAUGGCUAGUAAGUGGCAGAGCUGGGGUUGAAUCCAUCUCUGUCUCAUUCCAAAUCCCUUGCACUUUUUUACUAUAGCUGUGAAACAUUAUCUUGGAAAAGUGAACAUUUUAGUUUUCAGUAUGGCUAUUCAGUGGCCUUACAUUCAUGCUUGAUUUCCCCUGGAAAAGCUAGCACAUGAUGGGAAUGUUGGAACUAGGGAAAGAAUACAAGACAGGAGCCCCAAAAGAGGGAAUCAGAUUAGAUGUGAUAUGAAACCUGUCUUCUGAGUAUAAACAGAUGGCAGAGUUCUGCCUAGAAUUUCUACAUUGCCUUUGGCUGUGUGGGUCUUUUUAAUGGGAUAUCUAAGAAAUUCUAACAUCUUUUCUUAAUGAGUAAAGCUAGUGUUUGUUCAUGAAAGAAAGGGAGCCACGAAAUGAUUUUAACCUGUAACCUACAGAAUGUUUGUACUUUAGAAGCAUGUAUUGUUUCCCUUGAGCCAAGCAUGUUUGCCCAAAUACCACUUAAAUAGUGCAUCUUUGUCUUUGGUUAUGCCAAAGACAAAGGGGAUACCCCUAUGGAUACCCAAAGGGUUAUGCCACCGUAUGGUGAGGUAGGCACUCUAAGGGUGAAAUUCUCCUUCCACAGCAUUUUAUUUUGUGGUUCACAAAGGACAAGGGGCUCUUUAAAAUUUAUUUCCUCAGCAAUUUGUGGUCUAGAAUCAUUAAAAUAGAAGAGUUCCUAGAAGUCAUUUAGGUUAUAAAUUAAAAUUUACUCUCCUGGUCAAAGGAAACCUUCAUGUGCAGCCCAUGUUGAUUGAGGGCCUACUGUGUGCUAGGCACAGUGCUGCGGCUUUGCAGGAGUUAGUUACUUGGCUUGGCUGCUCCCUCUCCAGCCUUCUCUCACACCACCUCCCCUUGCUUCCCAAGCUCCCAACUCCAAACACUUGAGCUUUGCUGAGCUAUUGAACAUGCCAAGCCCUUCCUUCCCUCUGGGCCUUUGCCUAUGCUGUUCCUUCAGCCUGGAAUCCCCUUCUCCACUGUUUUCUCUGAUGGCUUUUCCUCCUGUCUCACACAUACUCCCCUUACAGUCUACCCCCAGAGCGGGGAAAAGCCUCCUUCUCCAUCUUGCUUUCUUUCUAAGCAGUUUUUAAUCCUUACAAACACUUCUAAUUUUUAAAUAUAUAUUUGUUUCCUGAUUUACUCUCUUGCUUUUCCACUAGUCUUUAUACUGUGUGGAGGCAAAGGCCAAGUCUGAUUUGUUCACCAGAAUGUCCUUCGCAUUUAGCAUGAUUCCUGGCAUGUAGUAGGCAUGGACUCAGGAAAUACAGUCAUGUGCCACGUAACAUUUCACUCAGCAACAAACCAUGUAAAGGAUGGUGGUCCCCAAAUGUUAGAAUACCAUAUUUUUACUGUACCUUUUCUAUGUUUAGGUGUUUGUAGAUACCCAAAUACUUUUCUUUUUUAUUGUACUUUAAGCUCUGGGGUACAUGUGCUCAUCCUGCAGGACUGCUGCAUGGGUACACAUAUGCCAUGGUGGUUUGCUGGCUCCAUCACCCCUGUCGCCUGCAUCAGGCAUUUCUCCCAGUGUUAUU